GUCCGGACCCGGGGGUGAUGGUUGUAUAAAGGCAGCCGGCAGCCCUUGGCCGGUGCGCAUCCUGCAAUCGGGCAGGGCAGCAACAAGCGCUGCGGGGCUGACCCGCACGGAGCCAGGGUGGCUAAAAACACCGGUGCUGGCUGCGGACUCGGGUUGAAAACGCAGCGGGUGCAGCCGCACAAGUUGGAGCUGCAGUUCGAACGCAACCUGCAAACGCACAACGCGGAGAUGCAGCGUGCAAACGUGCAGCCCGCAAGCGUUUCUUCACACGUCGGGGAAGGGUCGGUCUGCAAGCGCUUACGGACUGCUUCAAACUGGUGACAACGGUGGGGAUAACACCGCCUUGCUGGUGUAGACACAGUGGACAAAACCACAUUCCUAUAAUCGGGAUAACGGGAACAGGCAAAGCGUGCGUUUGUACACACACACCGUCUGCCCCCGCCCCGGAAGCGGCCGUCACAUGGCGGCGCGGCGCUGCCAUAAACACACCAAGAUGGCGGCCCUCACGCCGUCUGCCCGUGCUGCGUCAUGUCGCUCCCCGGCCCCGACGGGCACUGAGCCUUCAGGCUUUAUUUGUGUGCCAAGCGCCGUAAUCAAGCAACUACAGACUCUAAUGCUUAAUCUACAAAUGGUGCUAAAUCCGUGAGUUUGAGGGGAUGUAUUUAAGUCAUCCGUGCCUUACGUCAGGAUUGCGUAAUCUGUUGGCUCUCCCCUUUUUAUGUAAUGUAUGUUUGUAGUUGGGUUUAAAACAUACAAAUGUGUUUUUCCCCCUGCGUGCCUCUCCUCAGCUAGUUCGUAUUUGUCUCUCCGUUGCCCUCUGGAGUUAAAACCAUGCAAGACACCGUUUGGAUGGCUGGAGCCAGCUGACGGGUGCGUAUUUCUCUCUUAACAACAGUCUCUGUAACACCUCAGGACGUGGUGCUCUUCUCCAGGUGAGUUGUCUAGAGUGUUAGGCUGCUUCUUGGCGUUUCUGCUUCCUCCUGGUGUAAACAUGAGAGCACCCUGUACCAGUGAAUCCCAUCAACGUCCAAAAUGAACUUCUGAAAAACUUAAUAAUACAUUAACUUUUUCUGUAACACAUUAACUUCUGUUGUGUAAAACUGUUGUUUUUUAAACUCAUUUCAGAACUUGAUCUGUUUGAUUCUCUUAACCAAAGUGCACGUGUGUGUGUAGAAAUAUUUCCAUGAUCUUUUUCAGCAGUGCCUGUUUUUAGGGAAGAAAACAGAAAAAGGGAAGGAGGUAAAAGUAUAGGUUGAUGUAAGGUGGUAAUGUGAUCAGUUUGUGGUGGAAUUGUUUAUUUCACAACUUUAUAUUUGUACCCUAUGACCUAAAAAUGCCACUGAGCCUUUAGGCCCCUCAUGUGCUCACUCCAGCUGCAGCCCCUGGUGAGCACAGCUGGGUGCUGCUCCCCUCAGAGCCCUUGUGCUGGUGCUGUCAGUGAUCCCCCUCCUCAGCUGUCGCAGGCAGUGUAGCUCCAUUAACUCACCUGGCUCUCUGCCAUUGCACCCAGUGACUGGCUGGUGACAUUCAAUACUCAAGCAGCAUAAACCAAAUGUUGCUGUCUUAGCUACAGUGGAUUUAAGGGGGAAGAGAGGAGUCCGCGUGUUCUCUGUGGUGAUACCUGUAGAGCAGUUAGUUACCCCAUCUCCAUUAAAUCCAACUACUACUUAAGACCACUUUGAGCUGCAUUGCAGAAACCACUGUACUGAUUAAGAUAACAAAUUAGCCAGAUAAUUAAUGCUGGACUGAAACCCCUGAUGCAAAGCUACUUCUGUUAAAUCCUCCUGAGCUUUUCACCUGGCAGAUGGACACUGGUUGGAGUGAUGUUGUGUUUCUGAGACCUGUAAGGGAUGAGGAGGUGGAG
This 1864-nucleotide long non-coding RNA is filed under the name Melopsittacus undulatus (budgerigar). RNAcentral's name for it is "lncRNA (ENSMUNG00000019126.1)". The record is from RNAcentral. Lineage: Eukaryota; Metazoa; Chordata; Aves; Psittaciformes; Psittaculidae.